RNAcentral lists this ribosomal RNA (397 nucleotides) under uncultured bacterium. Its description in RNAcentral is "partial 16S ribosomal RNA". It matches the Rfam family "Bacterial small subunit ribosomal RNA", at positions 523 to 918 of the family's 1533-position model. The record is from RNAcentral.
AUACGUAGGGGGCGAGCGUUGUCCGGAAUUAUUGGGCGUAAAGGGCGCGUAGGCGGCCUGUUAAGUCUGGAGUGAAAGUCCUGUUUUCAAGAUGGGAAUUGCUUUGGAUACUGAUGGGCUUGAGUGCAGGAGAGGUUAUCGGAAUUCCCGGUGUAGCGGUGAAAUGCGUAGAGAUCGGGAGGAACACCAGUGGCGAAGGCGGGUAACUGGACUGCAACUGACGCUGAGGCGCGAAAGUGUGGGGAGCAAACAGGAUUAGAUACCCUGGUAGUCCACACUGUAAACGAUGAAUGCUAGGUGUAAGAGGUAUCGACCCCUUUUGUGCCGGAGUUAACACAAUAAGCAUUCCGCCUGGGGAGUACGGCCGCAAGGUUGAAACUCAAAUGAAUUGACGGGG